AGAGCGAACGCUGGCGGCAGGCCUAACACAUGCAAGUCGAGCGCCCGUAGCAAUACGGGAGCGGCAGACGGGAUAGUAACACGUGGGAACGCGCCCUUCGGUUCGGAAUAACUCAGGGAAACUUGAGCUAAUACCGAAUACGCCCUUACGGGGAAAGAUUUAUUGCCGAAGGAACGGCCCGCGUCCGAUUAGCUAGUUGGUGAGGUAAUGGCUCACCAAGGCUACGAUCGGUAGCUGGUCUGAGAGGAUGACCAGCAUCACUGGGACUCGAGACACGGCCCAGACUCCUACGGGAGGCAGCAGUGGGGAAUAUUGGACAAUGGGCGCAAGCCUGAUCCAGCCAUGCCGCGUGGAUGAUGAAGGCCUUAGGGUUGUAAAGUCCUUUUAACGGGGAGAUAAUGACGGUACCCGUAGAAUAAGCCCGGCUAACUUCGCGCCAGCAGCCGC
RNAcentral lists this ribosomal RNA (447 nucleotides) under uncultured bacterium. RNAcentral's name for it is "SSU rRNA". It matches the Rfam family "Bacterial small subunit ribosomal RNA", at positions 26 to 518 of the family's 1533-position model. The record is from RNAcentral.